GGAGUCGGAGCCCGGGCCUUCUUCGAGCCAUUUAUGACAGAACUGUGUGGGGGAUAGAGGAGGGGAAAUAAAGUUGUUGUGCUCCUCACAAAUUUAAGUUGAUGCAGCUAUUGACUAAGAUAAUAUGCGGAAAAGAGGGAGGCAAAUAUGUCGCAGAUGCUCUGUGUGUGUAAGAGAAGCAUAAUACAUUACUAGUGGC
RNAcentral lists this long non-coding RNA (199 nucleotides) under Nicotiana benthamiana. RNAcentral describes it as "long non-coding RNA (NBEN_LNC035086)". Lineage: Eukaryota; Viridiplantae; Streptophyta; Magnoliopsida; Solanales; Solanaceae. The record is from RNAcentral.